RNAcentral lists this ribosomal RNA (331 nucleotides) under uncultured eukaryote. Its description in RNAcentral is "partial 18S ribosomal RNA". It matches the Rfam family "Eukaryotic small subunit ribosomal RNA", at positions 1470 to 1796 of the family's 1831-position model. The record is from RNAcentral.
CCCUUAGAUGUUCUGGGCCGCACGCGCGCUACACUGACGAAGUCAGCGAGCAUGUCCUACGCCGACAGGUGCGGGGAAUCUUGUCAAACUUCGUCGUGAUGGGGAUUGAUUAUUGAAAUUCUUGAUCAUCAACGAGGAAUUCCUAGUAAGCGCAAGUCAGCAGCUUGCGUUGAUUACGUCCCUGCCCUUUGUACACACCGCCCGUCGCUACUACCGAUUGAAUGGUUUAGUGAGAUCUUCGGUUUGGCGCCACUGCGGCUCAGCAAUGGGCUCGGUGGAUGCCGAAAAGUUGAUCAAACUUGAUCAUUUAGAGGAAGUAAAAGUCGUAACA